GACGAACGCUGGCGGCGUGCUUAACACAUGCAAGUCGAACGGAAAGGCCCUGCUUUUGUGGGGUGCUCGAGUGGCGAACGGGUGAGUAACACGUGAGUAACCUGCCCCUGACUUUGGGAUAACUUCAGGAAACUGGGGCUAAUACCGGAUAGGAGCUCCUGCUGCAUGGUGGGGGUUGGUAAGGUUCGGCGGUUUGGGAUGGACUCGCGGCUUAUCAGCUUGUUGGUGGGGUAGUGGCUUACCAAGGCUUUGACGGGUAGCCGGCCUGAGAGGGUGGCCGGCCAGAUUGCACCUGGGAUGCGGCCCAGACUACUACGGUACGCAGCAGUGGAGAAUAUUGCACUGUGGGCGGAAGCCUGAUGCAGCAACGCCGCGUGCGGGAUGACGGCCAUCGGGUUGUAAACCGCUUUCGCCUGUGACGAAGAGUUAGUGACGGUAAUGGAUAAAGAAGCACCGGCUAACUACGUG
This 468-nucleotide ribosomal RNA is filed under the name uncultured bacterium. Its description in RNAcentral is "partial 16S ribosomal RNA". It matches the Rfam family "Bacterial small subunit ribosomal RNA", at positions 28 to 507 of the family's 1533-position model. The record is from RNAcentral.